Molecule: RNA transcript, 1868 nt
Organism: Andrographis paniculata
Lineage: Eukaryota; Viridiplantae; Streptophyta; Magnoliopsida; Lamiales; Acanthaceae
Gene name: serine/arginine-rich splicing factor SR30-like
Exons: 19
Source: RefSeq, a predicted model, not a curated record
AAAUAUGACACGUGUCGGAGUUGAAGCACCCGGUGCAUGUGAUGUGAUCCUGUGUGGCCGCGGCCAAUGAAAAUGGAACAGCGCCCCUUGUUUUCCAUAUAUUUGAUUCCGUCACAAAUUAUAUAUAUAGAGGAGUACCGGCAAAACUGCCAAACUUUAGAACUCUAGAACUCGCGAGAAUCUAGAGGAAGAUCGUGCGUGAAGCAGUGCUAAGUCAGAGAUUAUACACGACAAUAUGGGCCGGUUGAGCAGCACUAUAUAUGUUGGCAAUCUUCCUGGGGAUGUUCGUGAGAGUGAAAUUGAAGAUCUGUUUUAUAAGUAUGGACCUAUUGUUGAUGUUGAUGUGAAAACCCCUCCAAGAAUGCCUGGUUACGCUUUUGUUGAGUUUGAAGACUCUCGUGAUGCUGAGGAUGCCAUCAAUGGCCGUGAUGGCUAUAAUUUUGGUGGCUAUAGAAUACGGGUUGAAUUUGCACGUGAUAGGAAAGGAUCAUCACAUGACCAUUAUAGUAGCUUCAGCAGUGAGAAUGGCCGUAGUGGAUUGUCAAGGGAUUAUGAGUACAAAGGGAGGACUAACCGCUCAAGCAGAACUAUUUAUGUGGGUAAUCUUCCGGGGGAUAUUCGUGAGAGUGAAGUUGAAGAUUUGUUUUACAAGUAUGGCCCAAUUGUGGAUAUCGAUUUGAAAAUUCCUCCUAGACCACCUGGUUAUGCUUUUGUUGAGUUUGAAGAUUCUCGAGAUGCUGAUGAUGCCAUCCGUGGCAGAGAUGGCUAUAAAUUUGAUGGCCACCGAUUAAGGGUUGAACUUGCCCAUGGAGGAAGAGGAUCGGCUUCAUAUGAUUAUCAUAGUAGUUACAGCAGUGGAAGCAAUCGCGGUGGAGUUUCAAGGCGUUCUGAUUAUAGGGUUUUGGUUACUGGGCUUCCUUACUCUGCUUCAUGGCAAGACUUGAAGGACCACAUGCGCCGAGCUGGUGAUGUCUGUUUCUCAGAAGUUUACCGCGAGCGUGAUGGCACACAAGGAGUUGUUGACUAUACUAAUUAUGAUGAUAUGAAAUAUGCAAUAAAAAAGCUUGAUGAUUCUCUCUUUCGAAAUCAAUUUUCUCGUGCUUACAUAAGGGUAAGAGAGUAUAAUAGCAGACGAAGUUAUUCGAGGAGCUAUAGUAGUUCUUAUUCAAGAAGCAGGAGUCCCAGCCACAGCUAUGGAUAUAGUGGCCGUAGUCGAAGUGCCUCUCCCAGAGAAAAAUACUCUUAUCGCGGGUCAUCUCAAUCAGUUUCAUCUGUGUCAAGAUCUGCAUCACUUUCUCACUCGGAAUCAGGCUAGAUUAUGAUUUGCACAGAGAUCUGCCGAUCUGGGGACCUGCAUGUUAGGAACUUGAUGAUAUGCUGUGCUCAAGUUCAUGCAACUCAGAUAGUUCUGGCAGGUUUCUGUUAAGUUGGUUUCGCUCAAGAUCUGGACCUCCAGCUUUAUCUGAUCAUCAACCCAGGCGUGUCAAUGCUAGUCCAGCGCGCAGUUCCAGCAGGAGCCAAUCAAGAUCUCUUUCUCCCUCCGUGAGAUUCAACUGAAGCAACUUCGAGAUUAAACCCUCUUCUGUCAUUGUGGAUCAAUAUUCUGGACGAGCAUUUAAAGUAUGUCGGAGCUGUUCACAAUAGUUGGGUAACUUUCUAGGUGGUAUAUUACUAUAUUGACUCUCGCAUUAUUACGUGGUGUUAUGAGAAGUGAAGAGGUGAAAUUAUAUCCGAGACUAUGUAACUAAAUAUAUAUCAUGAAGUAGUAUGAGGUCUGUGAAUUCCAUGUCUGAGGUGGUAAAGCUAUAUAUAAAUGUAUGGAUAUAUCUUUUAGAUUAUUGUGACUAUACUAUCACCUAUUAUAUUCU